This is a long non-coding RNA of Gavialis gangeticus (Gharial), 747 nucleotides long. RefSeq lists it as uncharacterized. Lineage: Eukaryota; Metazoa; Chordata; Crocodylia; Gavialidae. The transcript is spliced from 2 exons. The record is from RefSeq and is a predicted model, not a curated record.
AGGAGCCUUGGGAGGAGUCUGUCCUGCCCCUACAUCGGGAUGAGGCAAGGAGUGGACUUAACUGAAGACUGUGCUCCACCAUUCCCUGAUUAGCCAGUCUUCAAUCUUGGGGCAGAGCCCCAAAAGAAUAUAUAAAGAGCUGCGUGCACAGCAGGUGGAAGAGAAGAUGAGGGACAGAGAAGAAAGAAGCUGGGGCUGAGGAAGAGCUGGGGAAGAGCUACCUUAGGAACCACUUGAGGUAGCUCAGGUCUCCAAACCCAGCACAAGGCUAGCAUCAGUGCAGAUGCCACUGCACAAGACACCGUAGAAGGGGAAACUGCAAGCAAGCUGAAGUUUCCAUCUCCAGCACAUACGCUCUGCUGACCAUUCCCUUUUAUUGGAGAGGGGAGUACACACUCUGGUACACCCGGGUUACACCAGUAUGUGGAAACACACUUAUUAACACAUGGAGUGCAGGCGGGAGAAGAGACACCAGUAAUGUCAUCAUAGUCUUUAAAACAUGAAAGGCAGAUCUGAGUCGUGGUCUUAGCACAAGAAUGGGAUCCAGAAGCUCCUGUAUUUUAUUGCCAGCUCUGAAAGACUCACACAGACUUGGACAACUCUUUGUCUCAGUUUCCUUAUCUGUAAAAUGGAGGCAGUGAUUCCAGCUGGUGAAAUAGUGUGUGAAUGUAAGCACCACCUGCUGUUGCAGUGAGUGAGAGCUGUUGAAGAUAAAUUCACUCCUUUGACCCUUUAAGGGACAUCCAG